Long non-coding RNA from Lytechinus variegatus (green sea urchin), 1249 nucleotides. RefSeq lists it as uncharacterized. The record is from RefSeq and is a predicted model, not a curated record. NCBI's taxonomy places the organism in Eukaryota, Metazoa, Echinodermata, Echinoidea, Temnopleuroida, Toxopneustidae. The transcript is spliced from 3 exons.
CGACAGAAACCAUGACUGUUAAAGUGUGUGGAUGAUCUCCAAGUCAGCGGUGCGCUUCCCUCCCACCACGCCAGAGUGCACGGCCAACCGUCGGGGUAAUGUCCCGUACUUUUUCCGCCAAUCUUCAUUAGCGUUCCUUGGCUGCCAGAUAAGUCAUAUACUGGAUAACCAAACAAGGACCACAUUAAUCAUGUUAAUGGAUGAAGUAUUAUUCCAGAAAAACAAAAGAAAGACUUGGAUUUGACGACAAUUAUGUCCGCCACGUUCAUCGGAGGUCUCCGGAACAGUGGGGGUGACUGACCUGAUCCCAUCCAUCCAACUAUAGCGUCUCCUCCCGUGCAUGGAUGCCCCUUUCUCCACAUCAUCCCGUUGCCAUGGGAACGGGGACGUGGGCUCUCGCUAUUUCAUCGUUCAAAGCCCGUUCAUAGAGCGGUAUGCUAUUCCGGAGGACAAGGAUGUUUGCUUUGAGGGAAGUGGCUGGCCUAAAAGAGGUGAAAAUGAUUGUAUACAACGAUGGUGGGUAAAAUCAUCAUCAAUGAUGACUCCAGCAAACACAAAUUUAGAUAAAACAAUUAUUCAUUGUGGGUUGUUUAAUUUAUUCUUCAUCAAGUAAAAUAGGUCUACAGUGCAUUGUUUAGCGACUGUGGAUACAUAAUUUUCUCCAUCAUAUCCUUUUCGUUCAGAAUACAGCACUCUUCAUCAAGAAAAAGGAAAGCAUAAUUUCAAUAUUUCUUUUUUUAUAAUUAAAAUAUCUUUUUGGUUUCAUUUUCUAGUUGAAAAAAUAAAAUAUUGCGAACGGUAUUUUAUAAUGCGAGUAUUUUUGUUUAAGAUGGUAGAUUAUUGAUUUUCGUGAUUUAUGGCAAAGGGAUUGCUGGUAAAGGUACAGUAUGUGACAAAUACUGAGUGUUUAAAAAAGGUUGAGUAAUAUUUUAGAACUAGAAUUGGUCAAAAAAGGACAUGCAUAUUAGUUUGCCAAAAUAUUAUGUAAAAUGCAUAAGUCAUGGAUAGCAUUGUCCACCAUCUUGUGUAAAAUUCACGUAGCAUAUGAAAUUAUUCUUCCCUUCAAACAAGUCCUUUUCCUUGUGCUCCAAUAUUGGCACGAAUGUCUUAACGUAAUUGGCGAUUUCGAAUUUUGUAGUAUGACCUUUAAUACACAGGAAUGGCGUUUGUUGCAAAUUUCAAACUCCUCAAGUGAUUGCCAAAUUUUGUUUGAAUCAAUCUUGAUCAAUAUGCUUUAAAGCUCAUGCAA